UACGUAGGGUGCGAGCGUUGUCCGGAAUCAUUGGGCGUAAAGAGCUCGUAGGCGGUCUGUCGCGUCUGCUGUGAAAACCCGAGGCUCAACCUCGGGCCUGCAGUGGGUACGGGCAAGCUAGAGUGCGGUAGGGGAGAUUGGAAUUCCUGGUGUAGCGGUGGAAUGCGCAGAUAUCAGGAGGAACACCGAUGGCGAAGGCAGAUCUCUGGGCCGUAACUGACGCUGAGGAGCGAAAGCAUGGGGAGCGAACAGG
Molecule: ribosomal RNA, 253 nt
Filed under: uncultured bacterium
Lineage: Bacteria
Description: partial 16S ribosomal RNA
Rfam family: Bacterial small subunit ribosomal RNA
Source: RNAcentral